UGGGGAAUAUUGCACAAUGGAGGGAACUCUGAUGCAGCGACGCCGCGUGAACGAAGAAGGCUUUCGAGUCGUAAAGUUCUUUUAUAUGGGAAGAUAAUGACGGUACCAUAAGAAAAAGCCCCGGCUAACUACGUGCCAGCAGCCGCGGUAAUACGUAGGGGGCUAGCGUUGUCCGGAAUCACUGGGCGUAAAGGGUUCGCAGGCGGAAAUGCAAGUCAGGUGUAAAAGGCAGUAGCUUAACUACUGUAAGCAUUUGAAACUGCAUAUCUUGAGAAGAGUAGAGGUAAGUGGAAUUUUUAGUGUAGCGGUGAAAUGCGUAGAUAUUAAAAAGAAUACCGGUGGCGAAGGCGACUUACUGGGCUCAUUCUGACGCUGAGGAACGAAAGCGUGGGUAGCAGACAGG
This 403-nucleotide ribosomal RNA is filed under the name Verrucomicrobiota bacterium. RNAcentral's name for it is "Verrucomicrobia bacterium partial 16S ribosomal RNA". It matches the Rfam family "Bacterial small subunit ribosomal RNA", at positions 355 to 776 of the family's 1533-position model. The record is from RNAcentral. Lineage: Bacteria; Pseudomonadati; Verrucomicrobiota. RNAcentral also lists the same sequence under 1 other name.